AGAACGAACGCUGGCGGCGUGGAUAAGACAUGCAAGUCGAACGGUGUUUCCGGGGUAACCUGGGGACAUAGUGGCGCAAGGGUGAGUAACACGUAGGAAUCUGCCCAAAGGUGGGGAAUAACUUGCCGAAAGGCAAGCUAAGACCGCAUGUGGCUUUAUGCUAAAACCGAAAGGUGCCUUUGGAUGAGCCUGCGUCCUAUCAGCUAGUUGGUGAGGUAAUAGCUCACCAAGGCUUUGACGGGUAGCUGGUCUGAGAGGACGACCAGCCACACUGGAACUGAGACACGGUCCAGACACCUACGGGUGGCAGCAGUCGAGAAUUUUUUCUCAAUGGGCGAAAGCCUGAAGGAGCGACGCCGCGUGGAGGAUGAAGGUCUUCGGAUUGUAAACUCCUGUCAUUAAAGACAAGCCGGUGCUUCGGCAUCGGUCGAUAGUAUUUGAAGAGGAAGGGACGGCAAACUCUGCGCCAGCAGCCGCGGU
This 480-nucleotide ribosomal RNA is filed under the name uncultured bacterium. Its description in RNAcentral is "SSU rRNA". It matches the Rfam family "Bacterial small subunit ribosomal RNA", at positions 26 to 521 of the family's 1533-position model. The record is from RNAcentral.